Brachypodium distachyon (stiff brome) is the source of this 1004-nucleotide long non-coding RNA. RefSeq lists it as uncharacterized. The transcript is spliced from 2 exons. The record is from RefSeq and is a predicted model, not a curated record. Lineage: Eukaryota; Viridiplantae; Streptophyta; Magnoliopsida; Poales; Poaceae.
UAGCGUGGAUGGUCAAAAGUUGCCUGUACUGUGUGUAGUAGAAACAUAAUAAUGUUUUGUUUUUGUUCUUUUGUUGCAUUUCCACAUCCAAUCCAUCCAUCGAUAUAUACAUGUCAUGUCGAUUAUUAGUGGCGACACAAAAAGAUUCUCUGCCAACAAAAAAUGUGUUCUUCACCAACACUAGGCGUACCGUGCUCACAUAGUUUCUUCUAGUGUUACUAGUGGUUUCUAUAGAAUUGAGGGUUCAAUGCUAGUGUUACUAGUGCUUUCUAUAGACUUUGUAGUUAGUGAUAAAACAACAAAGUCUAGUAUGGAAACAACAUCUGAACUUGCGAGUUCAUUCCUUCAUUCAUUCAGAUCAAUGUGCAUGCGUGCACGCAGCACUGACAAGACAAAAGCAGAUGAUGUUUCUUUAUUCAGAUAGGUAGAGACAGGCUCCCUAAUUACUAGUACUACUUAGAAGCAGUGCGGCGGCCGGGGUUGAUCCUGGCACAUGGCCUGCAGGAGCUGGAACACCUGCUGAACCUUCCAUGGCUGUUUCCCCAUCGAUCUCCAGCUGCAGGUCGAUGAUGGAGAUGGCAUCGCACUGCUGCUGCAGCUGCUUCCAACACUUGAUCUGGUUCUCCUCGUACUCACUGAAGACAGGCCCCGGCAGUAUCAGGGCCGGGAUGCAUUGCUGCCGGAAGAACUCCUCGCACUUGCUCAGCUGCUGCUGCUGCUCGUCAGCAACAAGGUGAUAUGUCGGACGGCGUACUGGCUCCGUACUUUGGUCCCCAAAGUUUCCGACGGGGGCCAAGGAUUUUACGGAUUUUGGGUGCAGCCGUAUGGAGACGGUAGCACGGGCUUUCUACAGCCAGUUUGGGUGGCGCGCCGAGCGCAGGCUGGAUAAUGGAUGAUCUUUUCAGUCUUUAUGUUUUUCUUUUGAGCACUCUUGAAAUGUACUUGUGGAUGUUGUUGCGAUACUUCACUUAAUAAUAUUAUGGAUGUGUGCAUCGAUUGAUGCA